UACAGGACUCGAGAGACUCCCGUAGCCACCGCGAACCUACCCCAUCGUUGCCUCGGCGGGCUGCUCCCGCGCCCGCCGGCGGCCUACCACCCUGCCUCUACGCGUUGGCAUCUCCGAGCGGGCGAAACUAUCAAAACUUUCAACAACGGAUCUCUUGGUUCUGGCAUCGAUGAAGAACGCAGCGAAAUGCGAUAAGUAAUGUGAAUUGCAGAAUUCAGUGAAUCAUCGAAUCUUUGAACGCACAUUGCGCCCGCCGGCACCCCGGCGGGCAUGCCUGUUCGAGCGUCAUUGCACCCCUCAGGCCCGGCCUGGCGUUGGGGCCCUGCGCGCGCAGGCCCCGAAAGACAGCGGCGGCGCGCCCCCGGAACGGAACGCAGUAGUCUCCUCUCGUUCCCGCCCGGGGCGUCGUCCGGCCGUAAAAGCUCGCUAGGUUGACCUCGGAUCAGGUAGGAAUACCCGCUGAACUUAAGCAUAU
RNAcentral lists this ribosomal RNA (475 nucleotides) under Anacacumisporium appendiculatum. RNAcentral's name for it is "eukaryotic LSU rRNA". The stretch from base 135 to 288 matches the Rfam family "5.8S ribosomal RNA". Lineage: Eukaryota; Fungi; Ascomycota; Sordariomycetes; Chaetosphaeriales; Chaetosphaeriaceae. The record is from RNAcentral.